This 834-nucleotide long non-coding RNA is filed under the name Anas platyrhynchos platyrhynchos (common mallard). RNAcentral's name for it is "lncRNA (ENSAPLG00000020904.1)". Lineage: Eukaryota; Metazoa; Chordata; Aves; Anseriformes; Anatidae. The record is from RNAcentral.
AGAGGUAUAGCGAGCAUGGGCCCACUGUGGGCUGGGGAUGGAAAGAUGACAUCUGGUUGUUUUUUCUCUUGCUGUCCAGGGAAGGCACAUCUGAGGGCAAGGUUUUUUAAGUGCAGAAGGUAAAAUCCAUCAAUGUCAGAAACAAAGGAGAGGUCAGAGUAAUGCUCCAUGGAGUGGGGCUUCAAGCUAUUUCUUCCAACCUUAGGAAAUAAAUCUAAAAGCUGAAGAAGGAUGGCAUCCCACCCCCUCUAAACCUAUCACCAAUUAUAAGGCUUUGGUGCUUUGAGAAGCUCCAAGGGAAGCCAAAGAUGUGGAGCAGUGGCUUCUUUCCUGAGCAAUCAUUUAUGUUAUCAGUCAUCCCCUAAAUCCCAGCAAAAACAAGCACCUACGGGGGCAGAAGUAUGCACGAUGCCAACGCUGCGCUCUUGGCAGCAGGACAACUGCAUUGAAGUGCCAGGCAGGAUCCCCCAUUGUAUAAAUCAAUGCGUUUUAUCACAAGCUUGGGCCUUCUAGUAAUAAACUAAACAAGAGCUGCUGCUUUCUUCAUGGAUGUAAUCAGCAAACAGGAAAAUUUAUGGCUCCCUAUCAGCAAUAAAUCAGGAGACCGAAUUUCCUGCUCCUUCUCAGACAGAUACUCUGUUGUACAACAUGAGAGAAAGCCCCCAAAGUGCGGAGGAUAUGAAGGUUUAACACACAGGCAAGUCUGGAUAGCAGCUCAGAACAAGCAGAAGAAAGACAGAUCAGCUUCCAGUGUGAUGGAAAAUAGCAAGCUCUUCAUUAUAUUUAAUGCAUUCGCUAACUGCAUUUCUGUAGUAUGCUAAUGUAUAAAUAGAC